GGAGCGGCGGCGGGGCGGCGGUGGGAAGAGCUCCUGGGCGCGGCCUCAACGUUCAAGGAAUCGGAUUGCUGUAAGGAUUUUGUGAGAGAAUUCCUGGAAAAUGCUUAGCACAAUGCCUUGCAACGAGCACACAGUGAGAGAGAGAGAGAGGCAGAGACACAGGCAGAGGGAGAAGCAGACUC
Canis lupus familiaris (dog) is the source of this 182-nucleotide long non-coding RNA. RefSeq lists it as uncharacterized. Lineage: Eukaryota; Metazoa; Chordata; Mammalia; Carnivora; Canidae. The record is from RefSeq and is a predicted model, not a curated record. The transcript is spliced from 3 exons.